UUUAAAUUGUAAAUUUUUUCUUAAAUUAUUAAUAGUUAUGGUCUUUAAAUUUAAAGAUUUUGGCGGUAUUUUAGUCUUUUCAGAGGAACCUGUCCCAUAAUUGAUAGUCCACGAUAAAUUUUACUUAAUUUAAAAAUUUGUAUAUCGUUGUUAUAAAAUAUUUUAUAAGAAUUAAAUAUUUAAUAUUUAUAAUUUUAAUAUAUAUCAGAUCAAGGUGCAGUAAAUGGUUAAGAGGAGGUGGGUUACAUUAAAUUUAUUUUUAAUGGAAUUGUUCAUGAAAAUUUAUAAUGAAAUUGGAUUUGAAAGUAAUAAAAUUUAAAUUAAUUUUAUGAUUAUAGCUCUAAAAUGUGU
Molecule: ribosomal RNA, 351 nt
Filed under: Sternopriscus tasmanicus
Lineage: Eukaryota; Metazoa; Arthropoda; Insecta; Coleoptera; Dytiscidae
Description: partial 12S ribosomal RNA
Source: RNAcentral